GGCGAGCGGCGGACGGGUGAGUAAUGUCUGGGAAACUGCCUGAUGGAGGGGGAUAACCGCUGGAAACGGUGGCUAAUACCGCAUAACGUCGCAAGACCAAAGAGGGGGACCUUCGGGCCUCUUGCCAUCAGAUGUGCCCCAGAUGGGAUUAGCUAGUAGGUGAGGUAAUGGCUCACCUAGGCGACGAUCCCUAGCUGGUCUGAGAGGAUGACCAGCCACACUGGAACUGAGACACGGUCCAG
RNAcentral lists this ribosomal RNA (242 nucleotides) under uncultured bacterium. RNAcentral describes it as "partial 16S ribosomal RNA". It matches the Rfam family "Bacterial small subunit ribosomal RNA", at positions 90 to 334 of the family's 1533-position model. The record is from RNAcentral.